AACUUUCGGCAAUGGAUCUCUUGGCUCUCGCAUCGAUGAAGAACGCAGCGAAAUUCGAUAAGUAAUGUGAAUUGCAGAAUUCAGUGAAUCAUCGAAUCUUUGAACGCACCUUGCGCCCUUUGGCUAUUCUGAAGGGCAUGCCUGUUUGAGUAUCAUGAACACCUCAACUCUCAUGGUCCGCCAUGAUGAGCUUGGACUUUGGGGGUCUUGCCGGCCCAGUGUCGGCUCCUCUCAAAUGGAUCAGCUUGCCAGUGUUUGGUGGCGUCACAGGUGUGAUAACUAUCUACGCUUGUGGUUUUCUGCCAUAUAACCUUCAGUGAUGGAGGUUCUCUGGAGCUCACAGAUGUCUCUCCUUGGGGAGGACAGCUUUUGAACGUUUGAUCUCAAAUCAGGUAGGACUACCCGCUGAACUUAAGCAUAUCAAUAAGCGGAGGCU
RNAcentral lists this unclassified non-coding RNA (436 nucleotides) under uncultured Tomentella. Its description in RNAcentral is "sequence contains ITS2". The stretch from base 1 to 155 matches the Rfam family "5.8S ribosomal RNA". The record is from RNAcentral. Lineage: Eukaryota; Fungi; Basidiomycota; Agaricomycetes; Thelephorales; Thelephoraceae.